CGUUAGCUCAGUUGGUAGAGCAGGGGACUUUUAAUCCCAAGGUCUAGGGUUCGAAUCCCU
RNAcentral lists this transfer RNA (60 nucleotides) under Lancefieldella parvula. It matches the Rfam family "tRNA", at positions 8 to 62 of the family's 71-position model. Rfam says of the family: Transfer RNA (tRNA) molecules are approximately 80 nucleotides in length. Their secondary structure includes four short double-helical elements and three loops (D, anti-codon, and T loops). Further hydrogen bonds mediate the characteristic L-shaped molecular structure. tRNAs have two regions of fundamental functional importance: the anti-codon, which is responsible for specific mRNA codon recognition, and the 3' end, to which the tRNAs corresponding amino acid is attached (by aminoacyl-tRNA synthetases). tRNAs cope with the degeneracy of the genetic code in two manners: having more than one tRNA (with a specific anti-codon) for a particular amino acid; and 'wobble' base-pairing, i.e. permitting non-standard base-pairing at the 3rd anti-codon position. The record is from RNAcentral. Lineage: Bacteria; Bacillati; Actinomycetota; Coriobacteriia; Coriobacteriales; Atopobiaceae. RNAcentral also lists the same sequence under 1 other name.